ACGGGAGGCAGCAGUGGGGAAUAUUGCACAAUGGGCGAAAGCCUGAUGCAGCGACGCCGCGUGAGGGAUGACGGCCUUCGGGUUGUAAACCUCUUUCAGCAGGGAAGAAGCGAAAGUGACGGUACCUGCAGAAGAAGCGCCGGCUAACUACGUGCCAGCAGCCGCGGUAAUACGUAGGGCGCAAGCGUUGUCCGGAAUUAUUGGGCGUAAAGAGCUCGUAGGCGGCUUGUCACGUCGGGUGUGAAAGCCCGGGGCUUAACCCCGGGUCUGCAUUCGAUACGGGCUAGCUAGAGUGUGGUAGGGGAGAUCGGAAUUCCUGGUGUAGCGGUGAAAUGCGCAGAUAUCAGGAGGAACACCGGUGGCGAAGGCGGAUCUCUGGGCCAUUACUGACGCUGAGGAGCGAAAGCGUGGGGAGCGAACAGGAUUAGAUACCCUGGUA
RNAcentral lists this ribosomal RNA (439 nucleotides) under uncultured Streptomyces sp. Its description in RNAcentral is "bacterial SSU rRNA". It matches the Rfam family "Bacterial small subunit ribosomal RNA", at positions 341 to 792 of the family's 1533-position model. Lineage: Bacteria; Bacillati; Actinomycetota; Actinomycetes; Kitasatosporales; Streptomycetaceae. The record is from RNAcentral.